GCUUGCGCAACAACUUCCACCUGGCUUACCUCUUCAGUUAUUCAUCUUGGCUUGUUUUGCCAAGGUGGAAUGUGGGUUUCUUGUAUUGCCUGCCUAAGCAAUGGUAUUGUCACGAUCGAUCAUUGUAUCUUUCAUCUUGUGUCAUACUAAUGACAUUAGAUGAACCACAAAGCUGUCUCUUUGAACCACACCAUUAGAUUUGGAUGUUGUGGCACAUUGAGCUUUGCUUGGUAUCUUGGAUAUGGAACCUGAUGUUGGCAUGGGGUCUGUUAAGAUCCUUGUUCUGCCCUCAUUAAGCGUUCUCGCUUCUGUAAAAAUGACUUCUUGCUGCGCAUUGGCUCGUACCAGUGUGGUGAGUUAAGUCAAAGAGGAAUGC
RNAcentral lists this unclassified non-coding RNA (376 nucleotides) under Picradeniopsis absinthifolia. RNAcentral describes it as "partial miscellaneous RNA". The record is from RNAcentral. Lineage: Eukaryota; Viridiplantae; Streptophyta; Magnoliopsida; Asterales; Asteraceae.